AUUCUGCCUCUCCCUCAAGCCAUACUGAAAAAUCCACUAGAUUGUAAUGAGAGGUCGGGGAAACUGAGCGGGCAUGUCUUGCAAAAUUUGAGACUAGGUCUACGGGAAGUUUAUUUAAUAAUCUCUGGACAUGGGAGGCACAUGCUAAUUCUGCUGCACUUUCUGCUGAAUUGAGUGAUUGCAGCAGCCCUACUAAUGACCUAACUUUGACUGCAAAGUUUUGGAAUCCUUCGGCAUCUCCACGGGCCACUUUGGGGAGGUUGAGUAUGGUCUGGAUCUCCUUUAAAGCCAGUUGAUGUGGUUGACCAUAUUGUCGUUCCAGAGCUGCCAUUGCUGCUGUAAAGGGCUGUGGGUGGUGAGCAUAAGACAGGGCAAUAUGUCUAGCUGAAGGGAGGUGAAGAUGAUCCAAAAGGAUAUGGAACUUAAAUAAUUCAGGUUCUUCUACAGGAAGAAGGUUUUUCAAGGCCAUCUUUAACAUUAAGAAUUCCUGGGGGUCAUUUUGGGUGAAAUAAGGGAAUGAUGGACCUUCAACACGCGAAGUGUAUCGGAUUUGUUGUGCAGAGGCCAUAGGUAUGGAGUAGCUUGAGUUGAGGGGGGCUCCUAGAGCUUGUGGGGCACCAGUGAUUGGCGCUGGCUGGGGUGCAAGAUAUUGGGUAUGAAGCUGCUGCACAGGUUGAGGG
Non-coding RNA from Xyrichtys novacula (pearly razorfish), 680 nucleotides. The record is from the annotation of a GenBank genome assembly. NCBI's taxonomy places the organism in Eukaryota, Metazoa, Chordata, Actinopteri, Labriformes, Labridae.